CAGCACCUCAAGUGGUCAGGAUGAUUAUUGGGCCUAAAGCAUCCGUAGCCGGCUCUGUAAGUUUUCGGUUAAAUCUGUAUGCUCAACAUACAGGCUGCCGGGAAUACUGCAGAGCUAGGGAGUGGGAGAGGUAGACGGUACUCGGUAGGAAGGGGUAAAAUCCUUUGAUCUAUUGAUGACCACCUGUGGCGAAGGCGGUCUACCAGAACACGUCCGACGGUGAGGGAUGAAAGCCAGGGGAGCAAACCGGAUUAGAUACCCGCGUAGUCC
RNAcentral lists this ribosomal RNA (270 nucleotides) under uncultured archaeon. RNAcentral describes it as "partial 16S ribosomal RNA". It matches the Rfam family "Archaeal small subunit ribosomal RNA", at positions 477 to 747 of the family's 1478-position model. The record is from RNAcentral.